This 18547-nucleotide long non-coding RNA is filed under the name Nicotiana tabacum (common tobacco). RNAcentral describes it as "long non-coding RNA (NTAB_LNC004776)". The record is from RNAcentral. Lineage: Eukaryota; Viridiplantae; Streptophyta; Magnoliopsida; Solanales; Solanaceae.
GCAUCCAAAAAGAACCAAAACAAAAAAGAAAAUCUUCGGCCGACAUCAAUGAGGUAAGAGUUAUACUCAAAACUUUUAAUCCCUGUUCAAAACCAAAAAUUGAUGAAAUUAGAUUAGGGUUUAUCAAAUCGUGAGAGAUUGAGUGGAUAACAAAAGUGGUCAAAUUAGAUAUGGUUAGUACAAAUCCAAGAAGUGAUAGUAAGUUCUUUAUCGCUUGUAUGCAAUAAGAGAAGAAUUGCUACAUUUUGACAAGUUAAAAAGAAAAAUAAUUUCAAGAUUUUGCGACCCUUUAUCACGGCAUUUCAAGUAACAAUUGCAAUGAGAUGAACCCCAAAUAGCCACAUGGUAUUUUGUAAUUCAUGGAAACAAAAAGUACAAUAUUUGAAGGUACGAUGUUAGGUGUAUCCCCUUGUCAAAAAAAGUUCUACCAUAAAGAAGAAAAGAUCUUUAUAUAUUAAAGCUAUAAAGUUAUUACUUUUGCAAUUUUGUCAACGUUGGCACUUUUAUGUCAAACAAGGAAAAACACUUUAUUUUUACUGUGUACUUUUAACAUUGGCAGCUUUUCUUAUAUUAUAUAGUAUCAGCUUUUGAGUCGGGUUAAGUGGAAUCAAUCUUUAUUAGUUGCUACCCCCGCCAGCUAUGCGAUGUUAAUAUAUAUAAUGGAAUUGGAACUCAAGACCAUUGUUUUAGAAUUCAAGUAGCUAUGCUAUGUUGAGAAAAACAUUGUUGUACUCACAAAGUUUGAUGAAUAAUAAAUAAUAGAGAGAUUUGCUAAAAAAAAGUAUAACUCAACAUAACACAUUGGACCUAUGCAGUUAUUUUUUAAGUUUGCAUUCGCAUAAUCAAUGGGUUUUUUGCAACAACAUUUGUGUAUCUGAUAUAGAAACAUUAUAUAACAUUAUACACUUACUAUAAGUUAAUAAUGUAUAAGAGAUAUUUGUACACACUUUUACACCGUUUUACAAAAUUAUAUAGCGUUAUAAAAAACUAUAUAUAAAUGUUGAGUUUCGUCUCCUAUGAAUUUGAACUCAUGUAUAACAUCAUAUAAUAGUUUAAAUCUUCACCGAGUAGAUUUAAAUUUUAACCACAACUUUAGAAUGACAUUCUUAACGAACCCAAAUCAUUAAUUUGUCAAACAUUUUCUAUAAAAUACAAGAUUCAUUUAUGAGUUUUUAUGAUUUUAAAACCCAACAAUGAAGUUUUAAAUUUUUAAUUUUAAUUCACUCAACAAUGUUUAAAUUUGUGGUGACAAAUGAGUAACAUUCUCAAUUAGGUUUUAGCGUAGAUCUACCUAAUACCUUAUUAAUAGGUUAUUCUUUUUUUAAAUUAUACACAACAAAAUAAUGAUAAAAAAUGAAAGCCCACAUGAAGACCUAAGUGCAUAGGUAUUUCUGUUUUAUGAAGUUCAAGUAAUUAAAAUAUUAAGAGCAUCGUUAUUAUAAUAGAGAGGUCCAAGGCCUAAAAAUCUUCAUAAAUUAAAUAGAUAUGUACCACUUAGAAGCAUGUUUGCAACAAAUUAUUUGUGAUACAAAAAUAAAUUACAACCACAAUAUAAAUAUGAAGAAACAUAGUUUUAUUGAUAAAAUGGUGCGGGUACAAUUCUGUUUGUUUCCUUGAUUCUUCUCUCUAGAUCUUUCAUCGUGAUUCGAGGAGUUAACCAACAUAUUUCUCAAAUAUAGGAUGAUGCGAACUUCCUUAGGAUAUAUUUGAUCUCCAGAAAAAGGAAGAACAUUCGUUGAUCACUUCGGUAGCUUUGAGAAAGACAAUAUUUGAUGUAUUUCAUCUCUUUAUGAAUAUUCCAUGAAUUUUUACGGAAUUUCGAGAUGCUCUCAAAGGGAAUAUGUAUCCCCCUUUUAUAGGUGUAGCUAGGGUUUUAGGUAGAGUAACCUCCAAGUUAGGAUUUCAGAUAGAGUAGCCUCCAAGAAACCUCGAUUGACUCUACUUAUAGUAUCUUAAAUUUAGGAUCAAACCCAAAUUUCAUAUGAAUUUGAUCCGAUAAAAUUUUGAUGUCUACAAAUGCCCCCAACUUCAAGGCUUGUUGGGGCGUAGAUUUACAAGAUCGUCGUAGACGAGGCUUGAAGUACCAGUAAAGAAGACACCACAUUCUUUUCACCGUGAGAGAAGAGAUGAAGGGCAGAUUUGGUCCCACUGGGCAUGCCAAUUUGUUUGCAACAAAUUAUUAGUGAUACAAAAAUAAAUUGCAACCACAAUAUAAAUAUGAAGAAACAUAGUUUUAUUGAUAAAAUGGUGCGGGUACAAUUCUGUUUCUUCCCUUGAUUCUUCUCUCUAGAUCUUUCUCCGUGAUUUAAGGGCUUAACCAGCAUAUUUCUCGAACAUAGGAUGAUGCGAACUUCCUUAGGAUAUAUUUGAUCUCCAGGAAAAGGAAGAGCAUUCAUUGAUCACUUUGGUGGCUUUGAGAAAGAUAAUAUUUGAUGUCUUUGAUCUCUUUAUGAAUGUUACAAGAUUUUUUAUGCAAUUUCGAGAUGCUCUCAAAGGAAAUAUGUGGCCCCCUUUUAUAGUUGUAGCUAGGGUUUUAGGUAGAGUAGCCUCCAAGUUAGGGUUUCAGAUAUAGUAGCCUCCAAGAAACCUCGAUGGACUCUACUUUUAGUAUCUUAAAUUUAGGAUCAAACCCAAAUUUCAUAUGUAUUUGAUCCGAUAAAAUUUUGAUGUCUACAAAGCAAAAAUGAAUGUCUUUAACAUAUGUUUGCUAUAUGUUAUAAGAAUCUUUUGACAAGAUGAACACUCAAAUCUUUGCGAUAUAGGCCUUAAUGGAUGCAAAAUAUGACAUAUACCCCUUCCCAACCAUUUGUUGGCCUUUAAAUAUGAAACCACCCUGCUGGGAACAUAAUUCAGCGAACCUCUCCACUCGAUCCUUGGCGACCCCGGAAUUGCCAACGUCAAGGUCUUAGCGUGACAAUCUAGAAUAGUAUGACAUGGAAACAACCAAUCCAUACCCAAAAUCACGUCUAAAUCAACCAUACUAAGCAAUAAGAGUUCAACUCUAGUCUCCAAUCCUCCAAUGGUCACCACACACUAUAAAGCCUCGUAAAAUUUUGCCAAGGAAUUUAAGAUUUUGUGGUGUCGAGGUAGACUAAUAGGUUUGAGGAUUGUAGAAAACGAGCCACGGUAUAGACUUUUUGGGUUGUACAAUGCAUUAGGGAAUUAGAGGUAAAUUCUUGCAGAAAAUGGCAUUUCUACGGUCAAUUAUGCGACCGCAGAAUACUACGCGCACCGCAGAUCCGUUGCAGAGUGGAACAUAAAAAAUGGGAAAAUUUUGAAAACUAUUCUGCUGGCCACAUAACUAUUAUGCUGGCCACAUAAUCAUUCUACAGGCUACAUAAAUAUUCUGCUAGCCACAUAUCUAUUCUAUUAGCCACAUAAUCGAUUCUGCUGCCCACAUAUUUAUUCUGCUGGCCACAUAUCGAUUAUGCUACUACAUAAUUACACUAUAUAAUUGACUUCGGGGGUCAUUUUUGGAAAUAUUCUUAUCCGACCCUAUUUUGAUAUAAGGCCUUAGGGGGUCAUUUUAUAAGAUAAACUCUGAUAUUUUUAGAAAGAAGUGAGAGUAUCUUAGAGAGAGAGAGAAAAAAGACCUAGCAAUUUUAUUCAUCCAAUUUUGCCCAAAAUCUUCAAGAAUCAUGGAAGCCACUCCCAAAACCAUCAUAUAUCCAGGUAAGUCACUCUUCUAAACUUUAUGCAAGAAGUUAUGGAUCUAUAUAUGUUGUGGGUUAGAGAUAGGCCAUGCAUGUGACAUUAGGAGGUAGUGUGUGAGGUUAUUGAACAAUUUUGGGUGGUUUCUUGUUGAAAUUGGUUAAUGGAGGAAGGUAUUAUCAUUGUAAAGCUUUGAAGAUGAUUUUUCAUAGUAGGGGUUUGACAAAAUUCCCAAGAGACUUAUGUCAUGAGAAUCCUUCUAAUUAUUAUCCGAUUUUCGUUAUCUUUCUAUAGAUAGAACUUGCUAAGAGUAUUGGGAUGUGUAGUAAUCUAAGAAAAGCUCAAGCAAGGUAUGUUGGCUAAACUACUCUCUUAGAAUUGAAUUCCAUGAUGUUUUCGUAAGUUCCAAGUAUGGUUGGCUCAAGUUCCUAAUUCUCGUGUUCCGAGUUGUUCCUAAUAAAUUCAAUUAUCCCGAGUAAACAAAGUGUCGAAAGUUAUGUAUUCAAAACAUAUUCUGAAUGCUCCUAUCACAUUAUGUUAUACGUCAUGAAUGUGUUCAAGAAUAAUGUGUGCAUUAAAAGAUUAUGACUUUGAGUCAUGUUUCAAGUGGAAGUUAUGAUGCAGAAUUAUGUGAGAAAAACGCGAUGUGCUUAAGACUCUUAAUUGCUCAUAUGUGUACCUAAAGUCUUGAUUUAAAAUGCCUUAUUGUUGAUAAUCUAUAAAGAUGCUUGAAAGUGAAAUAAGUGAGUUGGAGAUAUAAAGUGUGGCCACCGUGCCAAGAAUGAAAUUUAUACUUAUGGCUAAUAGUGCCAAUGAAAUAAAAUGAUGUGAGAAAGGUUAUGAAAUGAACCUUGAUUCAACUAUUACAAAUUGACUUCGAAAAUAGAUUUGCCUAAAAGCUUAUGUCCUCAAGUCAUGCCCCAAUGUGGUUGUUUUAACUAAUGUAUGCUUUGUAAGUAUUUCCAAUAUGUUUUAAGUUUUUACAUAUUCAUGAGUUGAAAUUGUGUAUUGCCCUUUCAGGGAAAAAGUAUUUCAAGAUGUAUACGGUGAAAUCAGAGGGUUCAAUUUCUCGCCAUUAAAGUGUUUUUGGGGAGUCAUAUCGAGAUUUCGAGGCUGUAGGGUUGUGCUCGGGUUCUCUCCCUCCAGGUUCAUUUACGCUCGACCCAAUGACGAUCCCGAAGGUGGGGAAUUCCUGAGGCGAGCAGAUAGCACCGGCAGAGUCUAAUAUCACGUCUAGCCGUCUCAUCUCCGUAUCUUUACAAUUAAUGCAUUCUACACUAUGUUGUAUUUUCCCCUCCUAUAUAAAGGGGAUCCUCACCACUUUGUAAAGGGUUGAUGUUGCUCUAACUAUUCUACACAAGAUCAAUAACAUCUCUCUCUCUCUCUUUUUUCUCUCUAACUUACUCGCUCGAGACUACCUCUUUCAUUUAUUGAUUUCAUACUUGUUCUUCAUUUAUUGCUUGAUGUUGGCCAUAAAGAGCCUCCUUUAAUUAUAUCCUAACUGUUAGCCCUUUCCUCAUUAUCCCUGAUAGCUCGAGCUCGAGCCCAGGCAUCGACUCGAGGCCCCUCAUCGGUCAGUCCGAGGCCCGGACAGCAAGCCCCUCGGUUUGAUCACAGCUCUAUUCUAGCUCGUGUUUUAUCUUUUAUCUUCAUAUAUCUAGCAUCAGCCGCUCUAACAACUAGCAUAAAAAUAGAUCAUGUAUUUUUAGAGUCCCAUCAACAAAUUUAAUUGUUAUUACCAUUUUCACAGUAAACAGUUUAGCACCCACCGUGGGGUUAAAAAUAAUAGUGAUUAUGUUCUUGCUGAUUUCGUCACACAACACAAGUUAUCUUUCACACUUCUUCUUGUCCAAGAUCUUCGAUUUCAGGUCAAAAUGUCUGGCUCAGUGAACAGAGUCAAGAACGACAACCUCGAAAACCACUGAGAAAACAGUGUGGUUGUUCCAGUUGUCAACGCACCGUUGCAGAACCCCGAUAACGCACCUGGACCGAUUCUAGCGAACGCGGAUUCGCAAAACAUGCAUCAGGUCGACGAAACCUCACACACUGACAAGAGCAUACUACAUGGCGACCAAUAGGAAGCCCAAAAAACCCCACCCCGGGAAGAAUAGGAAGUUAGUCUUCAUGUUAUUUUUGAAAUAUUGCAGACACAACAGUUGGCUAUCGCUCAGUUGCAAAGCCACACGAAGACUCCCAGCACAGUAGCACCGGAAACUACUCCCCCAGCCGAACAGGUACCGGAGACAUGGAGCAACAACAGAUCGGUAGGCGAUCAUGCCAUCAUGAAAAUGCUGGAGGACCUCACCAAAAGGAUCGAGUCAUGAAAGUAAAUGAUAGCAGCCAACGACAAGAAGGUCGAAACCUAUAACUUCAGAGUCGACCAAAUCCCGGGCAUACCCCCGGUCCUGAAGGGUGUAGAUUCAAAGAAGUUUGUACAACGACCGUUCCCAGAGGAAGCGGCUCAGAAACCCAUUCCAAAGAAGUUCAGAAUGCCAGAAAUCCCAAAAUACAAUGGGACCUCAGAUCCCAACGAACAUGUCACUGCCUACACGUGCACGGUAAAGGGCAAUGACAUAAAGGAAGACGAGAUCGAGUCCGUCUUACUGAAGAAGUUCGGAGAUACGCUCUCGAAAGGGGCCAUGAUGUGGUAUCACAACCUAGCUCCUAACUCCAUAAAUUCAAUUCCCAUGCUAGUAGAUUCCUUCAUAAAGGCUCAUGCCGGUGCCAUCAAGGUAGCAACAAGGAAGUCUGAUGUAUUCAAGAUUAAGCAAAGGGAGAACGAAAAGCUGCGAGAAUUCGUGUCUCGUUUCCAGAAGGAACGAAUGGAACUACCCCCGUCUCCGACGACUGGGAAGUUCAGGUCUUCACUCAAGGCCUGAAUGAAUAAAGCUCGGUGGCCUCAAGGUAGCUGAAAAAGAAUCUGAUCGAAUAUCCCGUCGUAACCUGGUCAGACGUCCACAAUCGAUACCAGUCAAAGAUCAGGGUCGAGGAUGACCAACUAGGAGCUCCCUCGGGCUCAGUAUAUCCGAGCAGACUCCUGGCGAAGGAGUCAAAAUCAAAUAAAGAGAGGUAUCAGCCGUACCCCGAUGAUAGGAGGAAUGCCCCAAGAUGCAAUCCGCCACGCAAUGAUCGAUUGGUGAACAGAGGACAGAACCCUCAGGGACCCAUCAAUAGAGGUGGUUUUGACGGGGACACAGGGCCAAUAGUGGCACCACGCCCAUCAGAAUAUAACUUCAACGUCGAUAUAUCAGACAUCGUGUUUGCCAUCAGCAAAAUCAGGGACGCAUGAUGGCCCAGGCCUAUACACUCAGAUCCUUUCCAAAGUAACUACAACUUGAUAUGCGAGUUUCACACCUCGCACGGGCACAGAACUGAGGAUUGCAGGCAACUCCAGGAGGAAAUGGCCCGGCUACUCGAUGACGGGCACCUUCGGGAAUUCCUCAGCAACCGAACUAAAAACCAGUCCCGAGAAAGAGAAACAACAAAAAAGACAAAGCAGAUGAACCCCAAUACAUCAUCCACACGAUUUUUUAAUGCACGCCCUCGGUCGUAUUCAUAUGAAGGGCUACAUCGCAUCCGCCAAACGUACGCUAGAACCCAAGAGCGCUAUCGCCACUAAGGUAUAAUCAUCUCUCCCUUUUUCUAUCUUUUACUUCAUGGUAACUCUUGCGCAGGCCAGUGACCAAAGCAGUCGAGACACCGAUCUGGCACGAGGGCACUAAGGUUUCAAAGCGUCUGUUGCACUCUUUUCCUUCGACCGAGUUUUUAUCCCGAGAUGGGUUUUUGCCGGCAAGGUUUUUAACGAGGAAAUGUCCACACGCUACCUAAAGAGGACCCAACAAGCUUACAAGGCUUCUCUUGCAAUCAACCCUGUACCAGGAAAUGGAAAACGAAGUUCCAGUAGUAAAUGAUGUACCGGGACAAACGGUCGAACAAACAGUGUUCGCAUAAGCCGGGCUUACAGAAAGAAAACAACAUGUACUUACGCCAAGAAAUCAAAGAAUAUCUUUCACCAAAAGCAUCUCAUACUCCAAAGAAAAUUCAGCAUGUUCACGGCAAGGAUCCCUCCAUCGAGUACGUCCCAAAAUACUCAGAGACUAGCGUCAAUAAUUUAAUACAUGCAUGGCCUCAAGGUCAGAAAUCCAUGCUCAUAAGCCCUCAAUGAGGCAAUUCUGAGCUCACAAGUAACGUCCUUCGAGCCUAAGCAAACUCGAUGACUCGGAGACUGAUGCCAAUCGCCAUUCACGUAAAACCUGAGGCCAUAAGACCCCGAGCGGGCAAACUCGGUCUAGAAAGAUCUAUUUAAUAUAGCAACAAAAGCUGUAAGACCUCAACAGGCAUGAAAGAAUUAUAAGACCUCAACAGGCAUGAAAAAAUUGUAAGACCUCAACAGACAUGAAAAAGUUGUAAGACCUCAACAAGCAUGAAAAAACUAUAAGACCUCAUUAGGCAUGAAAAUUUUGUAAGACCUUACUACAGUCAUAAAACUCGAUCCCGAAGUUUAGGCUAUAUACUGCAUUUGUAAGACUCCCGAAAGUGCAUACCCUCAAUGUAGAUGCCUAAACUACCACACUCGGGAUCAAAAAUAGCUCCGGCCAAACACAAAUGACUACGGUCAAUACGGCUGCACCAGCCAAAUUAACGCGACUCGGGGACGCCCGACUGUCACUAUAAAAUCACAGGCCAUUACUUCGAAUCUACUUCGAAAAGAACCAGUUAAACAGGCUACCCUCAAAUAGGUAAACGAGCUUCGACCAUGUCAGCUCCAAAUCACAAGGUUCGAGCUACUCAGCCUACGAGCUAAACCUUCCGAGGUGCUCGAACAUCGCCGCAAACGACUUGAAAUCGAGGUUCUUCCCGAACAGACGACGGGUCAGACAAAAUUAUUUCAAAAAGUCCUUAACGAGAGGAAAACAAAGCCUACAUAUGCUUAAGUGCCACACACACUAAACGUUCGCAAUGACCAAAAGCGUAAUAGCCACUGUCACUAGCUUAAAAUUUUUGAAAGCUUGAGGGUCAAAAUGAGCUCGAGUCGUAACCUGAUUCGGAGACCGGAUCCAAAAUAGUUAACUAAUACAUCCCUAAGGGAAAAGGCGUAAGAGCCAUCGCCGCAAGCUUCAUGAGCCUCAGGGCCACAUACAUAAAAGGUCACUUCUACCCAAGGCGUAAGAGCCACUGUCGCCAGCCCAUGCAGAUAUAAAACUUGAGGAUCGAUUGAGCUCGAGUCGAAGCCCGACUCGGAGACUAAACCCAAAACAGUUAAAAUGCGUAUGCCCAAGGGCAAAAGAUAAAAGCCGUUGUCGCCAGCCUAAUGAACCUCACGGCCGUACCACGGGUUCGAAGAUUCCUACUAAUUCAAAGGUCGAAUCGACCCGAUUGAGAUCCUAGCAAACAGAAAACAGAAGACACAAAGUGCGGGGUUCCCCAUUUUUUACAUACAGGCGAUCAAAUACAAGCUCCGUCUACAACAUAUUAUGAAAACUAUGUACAAAAGAACAAGGCAGGGAAUAAAUGUACCCCAUCGGUGACUAUGGCCCGGCGGCCCCCUCCUCACCAUCUUCAGCAUCGGACAGAAGGAACUUGGUAUCAUACUCCUUUCCUUUUGCUUGCUAGAUCUCCCCUAAGAGAUCAAAGCCCCUGGCAUGAAUCUCCUCGAGAACUUCCCUCCGGGAUCUACACCUCGCAUACUCCUUGCUACUGCUUGCACGAUCAAGGGAUCUCUUCAGUUCAGCUUUAGCAAUGGCAGCACUCUUUGAAUAGGCCACUGCUUUCUGUCCCACCCUGGUAUAGCUCAUCACAACUUCAGUCCAGACAUUCACUGCCUCUGUCUUCGCCUUUGAAAGUUCGGACGAGAGCCUUGCGAUCAUAUUCGCCCGAGCAGAAUUAUCCGCGCAAACAGUCUGGAUUUGCGCCUCAAGAGCAGAAGCCAUGGCUACAGCACUCUCUAGCCGCAAAAUGGGUACUUACAUGCUCCUGUACCUCGUUGAAUUCACAUUUGGCUCGACCAACCUUGCCCUAGAGCUGUCCCAGCUCCUCCGCCUUGUCUUUCAACUGAAAUAUCAAAACAUCAAGACGCUGAGGUAAAAAUGGGGAAUGCAAGCCAGAGUGAAAUACAGGGUACCUAAUUCUCCAGGCGGAUCUCACGGGUCAGGCUUCGGUCCACCUUGCGCCGCAGGGAAACCAGCUCACUUUCCUUUUCCGCACAAAGAAGCUUAAGGGAUUUCUCGUUAUCUAAAGCUUCCCGUAAUGGGGCUUCACUACGAAGCAGCUCGGAUUUAAGAUUGUCAAAGGCCUAUGAAAGAAAGCUAAAUAAAAAAAAAGAGAAAGGCACGGGGCAGGAAUAAUCUUACAGCAAUCAAAACCCACCAUAAGGUCAAGCCGUUGAGCCUCGCCGAAGCCGAAGCAACAUCCGAUGGUGUACCGCCUUCAGAAGGUGGCCGAUUGACCGAAUCGCUUCUCCUUGAUCGUUGAGAAGGUGUCACCUCACUACAAGCCCUUUCACACCCCGGAGCAUCUUUUUAUUUGUCAUCACUCCUCUAUCUCGAGGCCAACAAUCUCUUCUCCUCCCCCGAAGGACACGGCCUCAUUUCGAAAGAACCCCCAGCACCUGCGACAGUUGAGUUAAAUAAGCUAGAAAGAAACGUGCCAUUUUCUUGGAAGCAAAGCACAGGACACCUACCACAAUGUUUCGCCUCCCAUCUCCCUUUGGACAGAUUUCUCCACCGGCGCCUAUCAUAAAUCGAGCAAGGGACCACUCGGCUAAAUCGGGGACCUCGUUCUGCGACCAAUGAGUUGCUAUAAAUAUGGAACAGAAAGAUAUCAUUACGGAGCCUGCCUCCUGUCAAAAUGAUGAUAGUUCAGAGGAGACACUUACGUGUGAAGUUCAUUUCUCGUGAAAUGGAAAAUAUUCUCUAGGAAUGACAUCGAUGGUUCGAAUCCGAACGAACCGAUUCAUCCAUUCACGGUCCUCGUCCUCCUCUCUACCGACGACAGGAGCUUGUGUAUACGCUAAAAAAUCAAUGUAUGUCAUGACGCUCUCCUCGGGAGAAGGUACUUGUAAUACCAUGCCUUCUCCCCACCCGCAUUCUUUUCUGAUCAUUUCGAGGUUUUCCUCUCCCACUGAUAAGAUGAUCCUCGACACAUGCUCCCGGUGACCCGGAACAUUGGGAGGCCUCCCCAACGUGACAACUCUCCUCGAGGCAAGGCACCCCAAGUCUCGCUCACCGGACAUCGGAGGUGAGUCGCUAUCACUUACCGAGUGCAGAACACAGGAAGAAUUCCCCUCUACCCGACGAUCGAACGUCAACGUAGCAGUCAUGGCUACGGUAGAAUAGGAGGGAAAAGAUGUGGGUCUAAGCAAAAAUUUUGAAUUGGGGGAGAGAAAGGACUAGAACAAAGCGCUUGGCUCUACGGAAGAGAUAGUCUAUCAAAGCAGCAGAAUCACCACUGGAAAGGCGCAUGAAUCCAUAUAUAUAUAAUUGUGGAAAAUAAAAUGGUGAGGUGGCACCUCUCUUUGGCCAAGAAAUUCACUUAUCUUUUUUCUCAUUUUUUUGAGUUUCCCCCCUCAUUUUUUCAUUUAUUUUAUUUUUAGUACCCCAAAAAUCUCUAUAAGAUAACAUAUAACCAUUUCCUCUAUUAAUUGUGUUCAUAACUCCCAAAUAUUUUAUUUAUUUUGUUUACCCACUCUUCAUAUUCUUAAAGGACACGUUCAAAAGAACAUGUUAAUUACAAUUAUACUUGAUAGAUUUAAUAGUUCAUUAAAAUUACACUUGAUAAGUUCAAUACUCAUUCCAUUAAUUACAAUUACUCACUAGACAUUAUUCUUUCCAUUUCUAUUACCCAAUGUCAGUUACGAAUUAUAUUGGUUAUUAUAAAUAUUAUGUUAUAAAUACUAACACACAUCCUAUUCUUCAUAGCUUUCUUCUUUUCUUCAUUAAUAAUUCCUCUCUUUUUCGUUCGAAACUUUGUAUACAUAAAAUUUCUUUCUUCUUUUUCCUUUUUCUUUUUUUUUUCUUUUGUUGUUAUUUCUUUUGCCGAAAUUAUAUUAUUUCGUACAAUUUUUUUGUGCAUAAUUUUGGUUAUGGAGUAAGGAAGAGUUGAACAUAUGGCAUUAUUUGUGGUUAGUAUUUGAGAAUUCAGUUCAAGCUUGAUGAUGAAUACGCUAUCAUUAAUGAUAUUAUAUGCAUAUUUUGCUAUUCUUUUAGUAUAUUGCAGGCGUGUAGUGUUCUGCAUAUAUUCAAAAUUUCAAAUGCAAUAAUCUUACCUUUUGAUUUGGCAUAAAAAUACCCUAUAUAUUUUAGAUUUUAGGAAUAAUUGUAUGCAAUUCACAUUGAAUUUUGGUUUUGGUUUUUAUUUUUUCAAACAACUAAAAAUGAAUUGAGGAUGAUUGAUUAUAUAGUUGUUCAAGACAACUGAUAACUUGAGAAAAUGUGAUUAUUUUCCUCAUGUCAAAUAACUGAAAUAAUUUGUAUGUGUAUGCAAACAGUAGGGAAACAAAAGAGGAACCUUAAGGAGCGUCUCAACUUCUUUGCACGUAUUAAGGAAUUUCGACAGAGUUUUGAACAUAUUGUCUCAACAAGUUCUUCAAAUAAUCUACCAUUGAUGGCUAAGGGUUUUCCUUUUAUCGAUUUGGAAGGAAGACUGUAUAUGGUCACUCGCGAUUAUGUAUCUCUUAAGCUAAAUAUGAUUGAAAAUCUUAUUUUAUAAAAUUUCCUAUUUAAGUACCGUAAACGAAGGAUAAUUGAAGUGUUUAGAAGUUGAGCAAUAUUGCAAAAUAAAUGCUUAAUUAUUUUACAGUAUUCAUAGUAGUAACAUAUCUGUCAAAUUGAUCAAGCUAUUUAUGAUAAUAAAUUUUAUAUUUGUGAUAUAAUCAUUUUGUAUAAUUAAUUUAUACUCCUAUAUGCAUAUAGGUAAAGCUACAUAUUUAUUUUCUCAACUAAAUAAAAAAUAUUAUUUCAAAAGUUAUUUUAUUAAACCGCGCAAAGCGCGGAGAAAUUCACUAGUGAAUAUAUAGGGGCAAAGCAGCAACUGCCCGCCUACCCAAAAAGGCCAAUUAAUUCUGGUCACCCUCUCCUAGGGAAACGUACUGGCGGAAUCAUCCCAGGUCCUCUUUUACCGGAUAGAGGGAAUGAUGCUACCUCGCAGAACUCAAAAAAACUGCGAGGCCUCGAGGGCUCCCCGAUAUCACCAACACCGAUCUGACAGGAGCUGUCGAUUUUAACCCCGAGGCAUGGCCAGUUUGAGGGUCCCGGUUGCUCCGAGAACAGAUUCCAAAAGGCCAACAUCGUAAGUCAAAAGCCAAUCCGCAAAAGCAAAGGAGCAAAGAAAAAAGAGACUGAAAAACUGAUAGGAGGAAAAUCCCUCUUUUUUACAUUGCCAAUAACGUAUCCACAAGAAACAUCUUUACAAAAUCCAUCCCCCGAGGGCUACAUACAAAAGGAAAAAGAGGGGAUGCAAAAUGACUUGGGGACUACUCCUCAUUACUACUAUACUCGCCCUCAUCGGGGCAAUUAAAAGCGCCAGUUCUCUCUCCAAUUUGUGGGCUUCCUCGAGAUCAGCUGACAGGUCGACGCCUCUAGCCUCGAUCUCUUCUAGGGUCUCUCUCCUCGUCUCCGCCUUAGCAUGAUUAAAGGCUCGAGCUAGCUUCUGCUCAGCUAUUAUCGAUACGUCAUGAUCUAUUUUGUGCGUCGUGGCUGCGUCCUCCAGACAAGUGGCAGCAUUUCUUUCAGCCUCGGACUUGGCCGCGGCCAAGGCAGCAACCUCCUCGCGAGCAUUCUUGAGAAGAUCCUGAGAUGUCCCCAACUCCAUAGUCGCUACUUCACUUUGCUUCCUCAGCCCAAAAAUCUUCGUGUUUAGUUGGCUAAUCUGUGAACCAUUUUGCUCAACCUACAAAAGAAAGGCAAGCCAAUUUAUGUUAGAAUACGUGAGCAGAAGUCGGGUACAAGCAAGGCAAAAUACCUGCGCAGCAAGGUCGGCCUUUUCCCAGAGCGCCGUCUCCAAAGCAGCUCGGAGCUCUCCUAGUUCUUUCCCUCCCCGGGCAGAGCGAACCUCUGAAUCCCGCAGCAUAGAGGUAAGUUUUUUACACUCCUUUUCAUGGUAAGAACGCUCCUCACGGAGCUGAAGGAAGGCAUGAUCGUACAUAUCCUUACACUACGGCAUAGCGGAAAAGUUAGAAAGACAGAGAACGAUGCCCGAGACUAAAAGAAAUGCACGAAAUAUGGCUAUCACCUACCGCAUGAAUUUCUUCGCCGCUAUCACUAACACCGUAAAAAAUGUUGGCAAUAGAGCCUCCCCCUUGGAGAGGAAUCCCUGCUUUGACGACGAUCGCUUCUCGAGCGUCCUUCAGUUCCCCUGACGAGACCUGGAAGCAUGAGAUAAAGUCAUUCAUGUCACUGACUUCCCCAAAAGUUAACCCCUAUUGUGUGAAUGGAAACUACAUCAAACCUAGUUGUGCGAUUUGAGGCCGCAUUAACACCCUCUUCAAGGGUCUCCGGUUUAUGAGACCGAUCGGAGUUGGCCGUUCCGGACUCAGCAGCCUCCGAUCAAGGCACCUGCGAGGCUCUCGCAUUCGACCUCGUCCUCUGCGCUAGCUGGCAUUCAUUUUUAUCCUCUUCCUCGGUGUCAGGAUUCACCCCUGAAGUUGAAGCAGAGGUCCUAGUAGAGGCUCGAUGCUUGAGUGACCUGGGUUUCUUUGUCGUAGGAAGGGCGAUAGUUGCCUUGCCUUUUCUCUUUUUUCCCUUGACGGGCUCCGAAGCCUCCACUUCACCACGAGGGGGUGGCCUCAUCUGCAUAUUCUCGCCAAGACUUGCACAAGCGCAAUAACCGCAAGAUGUCAUCACUAAGGGCAUAGGUAGAAACACAAAUACGAGGCGUAGGCGGUAAAGAAACUCUACCAUGAUUCUUGGCAACCUAUCGCUCCUUGGCCAGGUCGGUCCAAGACCGAACAAGAUAUAGGAAUGCCUUAUCCAACCACUCGAUCCAUCUCGACAAAUUCGGAACCGCCUCGGGGUACCAAGAAGCGGCUGCAGGAAGCGCAGAGAGGUCGUUAUUUCAAAAGAAAAGUAGUAAAAGUUCUUAAGGGAAAAUUUCUUACGUUGUGUGUUCCAUUUCUCCGGAAAGGGCAUACUCUGGGCCAGGAUGAUAUCCGAGUUCUUUACCCGGACAAAUCUGCUCAUCCACCCUCGAUCCUUUCCCUCGUCGAAGCUCGAGAAAAAUGAUUUUUUGGACCGAUGAUGGAGCCUGAUCAAACCUCGUUAAAAUUGAGGGCUAUACAUCCUGAUCAAAUUAUUGAGGGUAAAAGUCUCACCCCCAACCCCUUCUAUGAAAUGGCGGAGCAUCAAUACUAUCCUCCAGAAAAAAGGAUAGAUCUAACCAAGCGUCACUUGUUACUUGUCACAGAAGUUAAAGAUAACCGGGUGUAUCUCCGAGGGAGAGGAUUCAGAAGGAUUAUCGGGAACUAAGGUGAAUGGGUAGGUAUACACGUAAAGAAAGCCGGCCUUAUAGUCCGUUAUAUUCUCAUUGGGACCAGGAAUCUCCACCCCUACUGCCUUGCUCCAUCGGCAGUCUGUCCUCACCGUUUGUAUGUUGGUCACGACGCUAAUAUAUCGGGACACGUGCUCACAUUGGCCCAGCGUGGAUGAAGUGGUAUCGAUGUUACAAUCCUUUGACAUAUCGAGAUUAGGCGGUGUACACUAUUCUAAGGAAGGAAUCGCUCUGGAUUUCCCCUUAGAAGAUCGACAUGAUGAUGCAACCUCGUUCCGCCGAGGAACCGUUCUAGAAGUCCUAGCCAUAUCAAUGGUAAAUAUUUCUCUAAAAAAAUAUGAAAAACUAUAAAAGACAAUGGGUUCUGACUUGUGAAUUUGAAGAUGGGGUAAAAAUAAGGAGUGUCAAACGGUCGAUAUAUUUAGAGGAACCGCCUAGGCGGCGAAAAGGGCGAGCCAAUAAGCAGUUCAUGGUUUCCUCGAUAAGCGUAAUUGAUGGUGACUCUUGCACGAUUUUUGGAACAUGGCAUUUAAUGCACUUAUCGGUUGAUUUCAUGGCAAUGAUGACCUCAGAACAACGGCUCAAAAUCAUUUCCCGUUACUUCAUCCCAGGAAACGCGGAGACUAUCUGUAUAAGGUGAAAUCGGAAGGUCCGAUUUCUCGCCAUUAAGGCAUUUUCGGGGAGUCAUAUUGAGAUCUCGAGGCUGUGGGGUUGCGCUCAGGUUCUCUCCCUCGAGGUUCAUUUACGCUCAACCCAAUGACGAUCUCGAUGGUGUGGAAUUCCCAAGGCGAGCAGAUAGCACCGGCAGAGUCUAAUAUCAUGUCUAGCCGUCCCAUCUUCGUAUCUUUACAAUUAAUGCAUUUUGUACUAUGUUGUAUUUUCCCCUCCUAUAUAAAGGGGAUCCUCACCACUUUGUAAAGGGCUGCUGUUGCUCCAACUAUUCUACACAAGAUCAAUAACAUCUCUCUCUCUCUUUUCUCUCUAACUUACUCGCUCGAGACUACCUCUUUCAUUUAUUACUUUCAUACUUAUUUUUCAUUUAUUGCUUGAUGUUGUCCAUAAAGAGUCUCUUUUAAUUAUAUCCUAACUAUUAGCCCUUUCCUGAUUAUCCCCGAUAGCUUGAGCCCGAGCCCAGGCAUCGACCUUGAGGCCCCUCAUCGGUCAGUCCGAGGCCCGGACAGCAAGCCCCUCGGUUUGAUCACAACUCUAUUCUAGCUCGCGUUUUAUCUUUUAUCUUCAUAUAUCUAGCAUCAACCGCUCUAACAACUAGCAUAAAAAUAGAUUACAUAUUUUUAGAGUCCCAUCAACAAAUUUAAUUGGUAUUACCAUUUUCACGGUAAACACAAGAUCAAAUGGUGUCUUACUCGUUUAUGAUUUUAACUCGUGCUUCGAUUGCCAAUCAUUUUACUCUAUUUCUUGGAAAGAAAUCCAUUGUGCUUAAAGUCUUCAUUUCUAAUGAACUUAAAGUUACAAAAUAUUCUAUAUGUUGAUGUUUAUGAUGAUGAUCCUUGAAAGUAAAGAAAUAAAAGUGUGGAAAAUAAAAUACGGCCAUUAUACCAUGAAAGAAGAAUCAUAUGUAUGGCCAAGAGAGCCAAUGAAAUAAUGAUGUUGUAAGUGGUUGAAAGUACCAAUGAGGAUAUAAACAGUGUGAAGGGUUAUGAGGUGUAUGUAUUUGUAUUUUUAUUUCCUUUGUAUGCAAAGCAAAAAUAUUUUGAGAGUAUAGUUAGUCACCGAGGAAGGGUAGGUUGAAAUAACCUAACGCCAGAACUGCACGUACUGGUGUAUGAGUGCAUUGUGAUUAUUCCCCUUAUUUGGGAUGAGAUUGAUGUGAUGAUAAUAUACCCCUAAAUUGGGAUGAGAUGAUUGCUAGCGGAGGGUGAUGUCAAUCCACAUGGCAUUGUGGUGAGACAACCUAGCUUAUCGGAUCAUGAUCGGACACCAUGUCGCACACAUGGUGGUGAUUGUGUUUAUGAUUACUGUCACACCUCCUUUUUACUACCCCAGAAGGGAGUAUAAGGGAGUUUUUUUCCAAUUUAAGUGACAAUCAAAACGAGAUUAUUAAUUUAAAAAACCAGAGUCGCCACUUGGGAUAAUUUAUGGUGUCCCAUGUCACCGGUUUUAAAUCUCGAAUCGAGAAAAGAUUGACUCUAUUUAAUAGUCCGCGAACACAGAAAUCUGGAUAAGGAAUUCUGUUAAACCGGGAGAAGGUAUUAGGCAUUCCCGGGUUUCGUGGUUCUAGCACGGUCGCUCAACUAUUAUUAUUGGCCUAUUUAUCUGAUUUUAAAACACUUUUAAACUUAUGUGCAUUUUUAAUUUUUAGCCGCUUUUAUUUAAAGAAUUAUUUCAAGGUUAUUUAAAACAUAUCGCAAGUCACGCUACAUGAAAUGCACUUGUGAUUCACGACACCUUCUAUUUAACCUUGUUGGAAAUUAGAAUCGGUUCAUAUAAAAUGUACACCCGAAUUUUAGCAAUUACAAAUCACAACUACGUUAGGGGAACCGUACCCGUAGCCAUGAUAAUUAUUCAAUUACGGUAGGGUCACAUGAAAUGCACACCAGUAACAUAUGUAAAAAUUAUUUUUUAAGAAGAGAAAAAAAGAAAGAUAAUAAUGUAUCUUUUGUGCACAUUUGUAUCUAAGCUUCAAGAGCAAAUGAUCUAUAAAACCAUAUGAAUUGCAAACUUAGCAGAAAACGACUUACUUUAACCGAUAAGGAGAGUGCCAAAUCAACAGAUCCUCUCAAACCAGACCAUAUGACAAUGGUAACUUCUUUCUGAAAACCUUCUGAUGUAUUGAUAAGGGAACUUGUACAACAAAUCAUCUAUGAAGUGAAUAGAAUGCGAAACCAAUACCGUCGAACUCGAACGGAACCUCGCCAGCAACCUCAAAGCUCGCCAUAAAACUCGAACGACGACCUCACAAACUCUUAAUGAUUCGGACUAGCUACGGUGAACGAAAACUCGAACACGACCUCGAUGAUUCAGCUUUGAAGCUGCUGCUUGCUCGAUUUUAGAGGGAAAUAUUGUCUGCAUUUUUUAGUUGUUUCAGGUGAUUUUUGGGAAGGUUUUGGAUCUGAUUUCGGACUGGUUUUUAAGAGCUUGGUGGAUACUUGUUUUAAUGGAGUUUAUGGGAAUUUUGGGGCUAGUAUUAAUGGAGUUUUAUGGGUAUUUUGGGGCUGGUUUUGCAGUAACUUCAAGCUGUAUUUUUGGAGGAAGACAAGGUGAAGUUGGAGUGUUAAUGGAGCCUUUGGUACAGUUUAUUUCAGCGAGAUCUCAUGGUUGUGUUAAAAUGGUUAAACUAAGGUGAGGAAGAUGAAAUUUGUUGGUGAUAAGUCAUGAAGAAGAAAAAAAGGCAACAGCUCCUCCUUCUCUAGUUGAUGCGCAGCUUUUGCUCUAGAGCUCUAGGAUUUAUCUCCCA